GAAACGACUGCUAAGACUGGAUAGGAAGAUAAAAGGCAUCUUGUAUCUUUUAAAAGACCUAGUUAAUAGGUAUGCUUUAGGAGGGGCUUGCGCCAUAUUAGUUAGUUGGUAGGGUAAUGGCCUACCAAGACGAUGAUGUGUAGCUGGACUGAGAGGUUGAACAGCCACAUUGGGACUGAGACACGGCCCAAACUCCUACGGGAGGCAGCAGUAGGGAAUUUUCGGCAAUGGAGGAAACUCUGACCGAGCAACGCCGCGUGAAUGACGAAGUACUUCGGUAUGUAAAGUUCUUUUAUCGAGGAAGAAAAGCAAAUGGCGAACCAUUUGUUUGCCGGUACUUGAUGAAUAAGCCCCGGCUAAUUAUGUGCCAGCAGCCGCGGUAAGACAUAAGGGGCAAGUGUUAUCCGGAAUUAUUGGGCGUAAAGGGUGCGUAGGCGGUCUAGUAAGUCAGUGGUGUAAUGUCAACGCUUAACGUUGUCCGGCUAUUGAAACUGCUAAACUUGAGUUAGAUAGAGGCGAGUGGAAUUCCAUGUGUAGCGGUAAAGUGCGUAAAUAUAUGGAGGAACACCAGAGGCGUAGGCGGCUCGCUGGGUCUUAACUGACGCUGAGGCACGAAAGCGUGGGGAGCAAACAGGAUUAGAUACCCUGGUAGUCCACGCCGUAAACGAUGAGUACUAAGUGUCGGGUUAAACCGGUACUGAAGUUAACACAUUAAGUACUCCGCCUGAGUAGUACGUACGCAAGUAUGAAACUUAAAGGAAUUGACGGGACUCCGCACAAGCGGUGGAUCAUGUUGUUUAAUUCGAAGAUACCCGAAAAACCUUACCAGGUCUUGACAUGUUUUUGCAAGAUGAUAGUAAUAUCGUGGAGGUUACCAGAAACACAGGUGGUGCAUGGUUGUCGUCAGCUCGUGUCGUGAGAUGUUAGGUUAAGUCCUAAAACGAGCGAAACCCUUAUCGUUAGUUGCCAGCACGUUAUGGUGGGGACUUUAACGAGACUGCCAAUGAUAAAUUGGAGGAAGGUGAGGAUCACGUCAAAUCAGCAUGCCCCUUAUGACCUGGGCUACAAACGUGAUACAAUGGCUGUUACAAAGGGUAGCUGAAACGCAAGCUCUUGGCCAAUCCCCAAAAACAGUCCCAGUCCGGAUUGAAGUCUGCAACUCGACUUCAUGAAGUUGGAAUCGCUAGUAAUCGCGAAUCAGCAUGUCGCGGUGAAUACGUUCACGGGGUUUGUACACACCGCCCGUCA
This 1248-nucleotide ribosomal RNA is filed under the name 'Raphanus sativus' phyllody phytoplasma. RNAcentral describes it as "bacterial SSU rRNA". It matches the Rfam family "Bacterial small subunit ribosomal RNA", at positions 153 to 1399 of the family's 1533-position model. The record is from RNAcentral. Lineage: Bacteria; Bacillati; Mycoplasmatota; Mollicutes; Acholeplasmatales; Acholeplasmataceae.